UCUCUCACUCACAUGAAUGUUCAAACCCUAGGAAGAGCCUCCGUAACGCUUCGCAGCUCCUGAGGGCUCGAAGUUCUUUCUUUAACAGUGAAACAAGCGAGAUUCCAAGUACAUAUAAUCACUGCAACAGAAUGGAAUGGGUGAGGAGCAGAAUUUGGUCACUCAUGGAAGCAAGGAAGCUGCAGGACCCUCGAAGGAAACUGCACAGCCCAUCUAAUGCUCAUUCUCACGCAUUGUGAGAUAGGGGAAGACGCUUCCCUUUGAACAUGGAGACGAAAAAUCCGGGAGACAGGACAAGAAGACACGACUUGGUACUCCCAGGAAACGAGGAAUUCUUGAGAGAAGGGAAGGAAACGUUGCGAGAACGGAAAAACCCAUGUUUUCCUCUUCCAUGAUUUGUGCUCUUUCUGACAGGCACGCAAGCACCCCACCCGCCUCUGUUCUAUCUUGUUUUCUGGGGGUAACGCUGCUUAAAAAUUCCACCUUUCGCCUCAAUUGAUGGGUGAACACAUGCUGCUGCUGCUGCUGCGACUGUGGAAGCGACGGCGAAGGCGGCGGCGACGGCGGUGGAGCGUGGGGAGUGCAUCUGGCGGUGGUGGCGGUGGUGGUGUUGGGUGGCGAGCUGAAGAAUGGCAUUGCUCUUUUUGCUUAUGUGAGGUGUGGCAGAUUUGGGCUCUUUUGCGAGGUUCAAUUCUUGUCACUUGCUUAUCACUGUUCUCCUGCUUGUUUAGCCUCUAACGGUGGUGGUGGUGGUGGUGGUGGUGGUGGUGAUAUUGGCGGGACGGCUCAAUCUUGUAUUUCUCUGCUUCCAAUUUGCUCUCAUCUUUGUUGCUUUUCUUCUUUGUUAGCUAUUUGUGAAUUCAUAUGAAAGGCUCUGCAAAAUGCUCAAGUUGGUCUC
Molecule: long non-coding RNA, 898 nt
Organism: Eucalyptus grandis
Lineage: Eukaryota; Viridiplantae; Streptophyta; Magnoliopsida; Myrtales; Myrtaceae
Exons: 3
Source: RefSeq, a predicted model, not a curated record